RNAcentral lists this ribosomal RNA (433 nucleotides) under uncultured bacterium. RNAcentral describes it as "partial 16S ribosomal RNA". It matches the Rfam family "Bacterial small subunit ribosomal RNA", at positions 29 to 507 of the family's 1533-position model. The record is from RNAcentral.
AACGAACGCUGGCGGCAUGCCUAACACAUGCAAGUCGAACGAGACCUUCGUGUCUAGUGGCGCACGGGUGCGUAACGCGUGGGAACCUGCCCUUAGGUUCCGAAUACCUCCCUGAAAGGGGUGCUAAUACCGGAUAAUGUCUUCGGACCAAAGAUUUAUCGCCUUUGGAUGGGCCCGCGUUGGUUUAGCUUGUUGGUAGUGUAAAAGCCUACCAAGGCGUGGAUCCAUAGCUGGUCUGAGAGGAUGAUCAGCCACACUGGGACUGGGACACGGCCCAGAAUCCUACGGGAGGGAGGAGUGGGGAAUACUGGACUAUGGGGGAGGGGCUGAUGCAGCAAUGCCGCGUGAGUGAUGAAGGCGUUAGGGUUGUACAGCUCUUUUACACGGGACGAUAAUGACGGUACCGGGAGAAUAAGCACCGGCUAACUCCGUG